Molecule: ribosomal RNA, 465 nt
Filed under: uncultured bacterium
Lineage: Bacteria
Description: partial 16S ribosomal RNA
Rfam family: Bacterial small subunit ribosomal RNA
Source: RNAcentral
GACGAACGCUGGCGGCGUGCUUAACACAUGCAAGUCGAACGGAAAGGCCCCUUUGGGGGUACUCGAGUGGCGCACGGGUGCGUAACACGUGAGUAACCUGCCCUUGACUUCGGGAUAACUUCAGGAAACUGGGGCUAAUACCGGAUAGGAAUCCUUGCUGCAUGGUGGGGGUUGGAAAGCUUCGGCGGUUUUGGAUGGACUCGCGGCUUAUCAGCUUGUUGGUGGGGUAGUGGCUUACCAAGGCUUUGACGGGUAGCCGGCCUGAGAGGGCGACCGGCCACAUUGGGACUGAGAUACGGCCCAGACUCCUACGGGAGGCAGCAGUGGGGAAUAUUGCACAAUGGGCGGAAGCCUGAUGCAGCAACGCCGCGUGCGGGAUGACGGCCUUCGGGUUGUAAACCGCUUUCAGCAGGGGCGAAGCUUGUGGUGACGGUACCUGCAGAAGAAGCACCGGCUAACUACGUG